GGGCCGGUAGCUCAGUGGUAGAGCACUUAUCUGAUAAGUAAGGGGUCGAUGGUUCAAUCCCAUCCCGGCCCA
Molecule: transfer RNA, 72 nt
Filed under: Candidatus Daviesbacteria bacterium RIFCSPHIGHO2_01_FULL_37_27
Lineage: Bacteria; Candidatus Daviesiibacteriota
Also listed under: 2 other names
Description: tRNA-Ile
Rfam family: tRNA
About the family: Transfer RNA (tRNA) molecules are approximately 80 nucleotides in length. Their secondary structure includes four short double-helical elements and three loops (D, anti-codon, and T loops). Further hydrogen bonds mediate the characteristic L-shaped molecular structure. tRNAs have two regions of fundamental functional importance: the anti-codon, which is responsible for specific mRNA codon recognition, and the 3' end, to which the tRNAs corresponding amino acid is attached (by aminoacyl-tRNA synthetases). tRNAs cope with the degeneracy of the genetic code in two manners: having more than one tRNA (with a specific anti-codon) for a particular amino acid; and 'wobble' base-pairing, i.e. permitting non-standard base-pairing at the 3rd anti-codon position.
Source: RNAcentral